Molecule: ribosomal RNA, 247 nt
Filed under: uncultured bacterium
Lineage: Bacteria
Description: partial 16S ribosomal RNA
Rfam family: Bacterial small subunit ribosomal RNA
Source: RNAcentral
UGGGUAACCUGCCUCAAAGAGGGGAAUAGCCUCCCGAAAGGGAGAUUAAUACCGCAUAAUAUGUUUAAGUCGCAUGACUUUAACAUCAAAAGGAUUUUUCUUUUAAGAAAAUUCCACUUUGAGAUGGACCCGCGGCGCAUUAGCUAGUUGGUGAGGUAACGGCUCACCAAGGCAACGAUGCGUAGCCGACCUGAGAGGGUNAUCGGCCACAUUGGAACUGAGACACGGUCCAGACUCCGUAGGGAGG